This 586-nucleotide ribosomal RNA is filed under the name Acinetobacter baumannii. Its description in RNAcentral is "partial 23S ribosomal RNA". It matches the Rfam family "Bacterial large subunit ribosomal RNA", at positions 1 to 635 of the family's 2925-position model. The record is from RNAcentral. Lineage: Bacteria; Pseudomonadati; Pseudomonadota; Gammaproteobacteria; Moraxellales; Moraxellaceae.
AGUCAAGUAAUUAAGUGCAUGUGGUGGAUGCCUUGGCAGUCAGAGGCGAUGAAAGACGUGAUAGCCUGCGAAAAGCUCCGGGGAGGCGGCAAAUAUCCUUUGAUCCGGAGAUGUCUGAAUGGGGGAACCCACCUACUUUAAGGUAGGUAUUGCAACAUGAAUACAUAGUGUUGCAAGGCGAACGAGGGGAAGUGAAACAUCUCAGUACCCUUAGGAAAAGAAAUCAAUUGAGAUUCCCUCAGUAGCGGCGAGCGAACGGGGAUCAGCCCAUUAAGUUAUGUGUGUUUUAGUGGAACGCUCUGGGAAGUGCGAACGUAGAGGGUGAUAUUCCCGUACACGAAAGGGCACACAUAAUGAUGACGAGUAGGGCGAGGCACGUGAAACCUUGUCUGAAUAUGGGGGGACCAUCCUCCAAGGCUAAAUACUCCUGACUGACCGAUAGUGAACCAGUACCGUGAGGGAAAGGCGAAAAGAACCCCUGUGAGGGGAGUGAAAUAGAUCCUGAAACCGCAUGCAUACAAGCAGUGGGAGCACCUUCGUGGUGUGACUGCGUACCUUUUGUAUAAUGGGUCAGCGACUUAUAUUC